UACAGGGGGUGCAAACGUUGCUCGGAAUCAUUGGGCGUAAAGCGCACGUAGGCGGUUCGUUAUGUCGGAUGUGAAAGCCCUUGGCUUAACCGAGGAAGUGCAUCCGAAACUGGCGAGCUAGAGUACUAAAGAGGAUCGCGGAAUUCCCGGUGUAGAGGUGAAAUUCGUAGAUAUCGGGAGGAACACCUGUGGCGAAAGCGGCGCACUGGACCAUAACUGACGCUGAGGCGCGAAAGCUAGGGGAGCAAACAG
This 252-nucleotide ribosomal RNA is filed under the name uncultured bacterium. RNAcentral describes it as "partial 16S ribosomal RNA". It matches the Rfam family "Bacterial small subunit ribosomal RNA", at positions 524 to 775 of the family's 1533-position model. The record is from RNAcentral.